This 170-nucleotide non-coding RNA is filed under the name Thalassiothrix antarctica. The record is from RNAcentral. Lineage: Eukaryota; Bacillariophyta; Fragilariophyceae; Thalassionematales; Thalassionemataceae.
GACAUCCUCAAAAGUGUGUGGUUAUACAUCUUCUUCCCCUCACAUUGUUGAAUCUGCGACAGCAUUCAACCCUCCUCGACCUCCUGAAUCAGUAGGUCCUAAGAAAAAGCAUAGGAUGAUGCGAUGGGAAAGUCGGCCGGAAGAUGUUGAGGUGGAUCUUGAUAGCUAUC